UACGGGGGAUGCAAGCGUUAUUCGGAAUUAUUGGGCGUAAAGGGCGCGUAGGCGGUUUUGUCGGUCAGAUGUGAAAGCCCAGGGCUCAACCCUGGACGUGCAUUUGAAACAGCAAGACUUGAGUACGGGAGAGGAAAGCGGAAUUCCUGGUGUAGAGGUGAAAUUCGUAGAUAUCAGGAGGAACACCGAUGGCGAAGGCAGCUUUCUGGACCGAUACUGACGCUGAGGCGCGAAGGCGUGGGUAGCGAACAGGAUUAGAUACCCUGGUAGUCCACGCAGUAAACGAUGUACACUCGGUGUAGCGGAUAUUAAAAUCUGCUGCGCCCAAGCUAACGCAUUAAGUGUACCGCCUGGGGAGUACGGUCGCAAGACUAAA
Molecule: ribosomal RNA, 376 nt
Filed under: uncultured bacterium
Lineage: Bacteria
Description: bacterial SSU rRNA
Rfam family: Bacterial small subunit ribosomal RNA
Source: RNAcentral